RNAcentral lists this long non-coding RNA (1294 nucleotides) under Homo sapiens (human). RNAcentral's name for it is "HSALNT0340499". Lineage: Eukaryota; Metazoa; Chordata; Mammalia; Primates; Hominidae. The record is from RNAcentral.
UUACAUUUAUGGAAAGUCCUGGGUGAUACUGAUAAGAAGCAUCUCUUUAGCUGGUUGGGCUGCUCUCUUAUUUCCAGUGACUGCUUGUCUCCAUGUUAUGAGUUUUGAGUUGAUAGCCAUAGCCUCUGGAACAAGGCUGGACUCUGGAUCCAUUUUCUUUUCUAAGCCUUUUCCUUCCAAAACCAAGGGUGAUUUCAACUUUCAUUUGGAUGAGGCACUUCACUUCUCAGGUUCACGGUCAUUUGAUCCCCUCUGCUCUGACCGCUGUCCCCCCUCUCUGCUGUAACUUCAUUUGCAGCCACCCCUUGGCCUCUCCGCUCCACCUCUGACUUCCCGUAUUCUGCCGUGACCUUUCCUGUGCGAACCACCAGGUUCCCUCUUUCCAUUGUCACCGCCAUGUCUUCAUGCCUGCUCUGCUCACUGUCAGCGUGCCCAAGCCUAAUCUCCUUCCCUUGUCUCUAUUGAAUCAGACUCUCAGUCCCUUCUUAUUUCAAUGUAUUUCCUAACUUGUUUGGAUUUCAUGGUUUAUUGUUUCCACCACACUAUCAUCAACACACACAUUUCCACCAACCCUUUGAUCUACUGCUGUAUAAGCCUUGCAAAUAGUCUAUUCUACAACAGCCUAAUGACUCAUUCUUACCGACUCUGAUUUCUAAGCUGUGAAGCACUGCUGAAGGAAGUCAUUUUGCUUUGCUCACUGGGAAAUGACAAAUUCUAUGGCCUUCAGAAACGGCUCCCAACAAACGUAACCAGAGAGGUCUCAGUACCAUCAGGUUCCCAGGAUUAUCUGCUGCGUUGCUCAGCCAUCCUUAGCUGAUGCUCCAGAGCCCAGGACAGCUACUUAUGCUCCAAUUCAUUGCUGUGGCAGCAGGAAAAAGAAAACUACAAGGAAAGGGAUAUCUCUUCUCUUGAAGGACAGGUCUGAUCCAUGGUGCUAAGGAUCUGAAGUGUGAACUCACAGUGAAGGACCCUGAGAGGGCAGAGCCAUGUGAUGGAAUGAGCCAUGAUCCCUGAGUCCUCACCUCAGGGAGAGAUGUGCAGAAGAGCCACCCAAGUGGUGAUGUGCUGGUAAACAUUUAGUGACCCAUUUGAGGUGUGGGGGGAGGCUCUAACUGGUAACAUUUGUUAAUUUCUGUAAUGCAUACUCCUACUAAGGCUGCUUUUAGGCAACCAACGUGAUGUCACUGAACACAGUUUGGAAUGGAUGCACAUAAUCAGUUCUCAUGAUCCAGGAUGAACCAGCCCUAGCAUACCACUGCCCCUAACCCACAUAUAACUGUGUCAUCAUUUAAAA